GACGAACGCUGGCGGCGUGCUUAACACAUGCAAGUCGAACGGAAAGGCCCUGAUUUUGUGGGGUGCUCGAGUGGCGAACGGGUGAGUAACACGUGAGUAACCUGCACUUGACUUUGGGAUAACUUCAGGAAACUGGGGCUAAUACCGGAUAGGAGAUCCUGCUGCAUGGUGGGGGUUGGAAAGUUUCGGCGGUUGGGGAUGGACUCGCGGCUUAUCAGCUUGUUGGUGGGGUAGUGGCUUACAAAGGCUUUGACGGGUAGCCGGCCUGAGAGGGUGACCGGCCACAUUAGGACUGAGAGACGGCCCAGACUCCUACGUGAGGCAGCAGUCGGGAAUAUUGCACAAUGGGCGGAAGCCUGAUGCAGCAACGCCGCGUUCGUGAUGACGUCCUUCUGGUUGUAAACCGCUUUCGCCUGUGACGAAGCGUGAUUGACGGUAAUGGGUAAAGAAGCACCGGCUAACUACGUG
RNAcentral lists this ribosomal RNA (468 nucleotides) under uncultured bacterium. RNAcentral's name for it is "partial 16S ribosomal RNA". It matches the Rfam family "Bacterial small subunit ribosomal RNA", at positions 28 to 507 of the family's 1533-position model. The record is from RNAcentral.